This 301-nucleotide unclassified non-coding RNA is filed under the name Chytridiomycota sp. Its description in RNAcentral is "partial contains small subunit ribosomal RNA, internal transcribed spacer 1, and 5.8S ribosomal RNA". The stretch from base 1 to 47 matches the Rfam family "Eukaryotic small subunit ribosomal RNA", at positions 1785 to 1831 of the family's 1831-position model. The record is from RNAcentral. Lineage: Eukaryota; Fungi; Chytridiomycota.
AAAGUCGUAACAAGGUAACCGUAGGUGAACCUGCGGUUGGAUCAUUAAAAAUUUUAACAGCCUCUCAUUGCUCCAUACUGGCAAUGAAUGUUGGCACCACAUUUUGUGCACUGUAAUGUCUUUGGUGGUUGGGCGGCUUGUUUUUUUUGUGACAAUUCCGUUCGUCAGCUUGGAUUUUUCAUAGUCCUCGCCGUGGACACGCCACCGUUUGUUUUUCAAACCCAUGCUUGAUGAAUUGUCUGACACACUAUUUGUAUUACAAAUGUACAAACAACUUUUGGCAACGGAUCUCUUGGUUCUC